GGCAGGAGGGUUAAGGCCGUUGUGUUCCCGCCUUCACGCGCUGAUGGCCGCCUGGCUGGUAGGGCUGCCAGGUGUCCGGGUUUGAACUGGACAGUCCGGUAUUUGAGGGGUCUGCUUCUGGCCGGGGAAGAAAAUUAAGAAACUACGGGACAUGUAAACUGUCUGGUAUUUUCUAACUGGCAAAUGUCCACAAGGUGGUGCCACUGCUAACCAGUUAAGAGUCAAAAGAAUACAUUUGGAAACACUGUAUCUAAUGGCUUUCCUGAGUAGGUGGAGCUCAAAACUAGCCAUGACUGAAAAAUCUGAAGAUGCCUCCUGAUUGUAAAGUUGAAGGAGAUCCAUUCAGAAGGUUGAUUAACCUGACAAUUCACAAAGAAGGUUUCAGAAAGCUCAAAUACUGGACUGUCUGGUUCAAAACCGGACACCUGGCAACCCUAAGCAAUGAUGCAUCUAAUAUGAUACAUACAAUUUUCCACUUUGUGCAAAAUCCCAGCAUACAUAAUUAUUGAUUGUUGAUUUCCUACUAAAAUGAGAGUUUGUUUGAACAUCUGUGUUUUGUAAAUAUUUUUUUUUCUUCAUUUGAAUCCCACUAAUAAGUUUAAAAUACGUGCUUUUCAAUAGAAGUUACAGGAAUUGUCUAGAUUCCU
Molecule: non-coding RNA, 647 nt
Organism: Pelodiscus sinensis (Chinese soft-shelled turtle)
Lineage: Eukaryota; Metazoa; Chordata; Testudines; Trionychidae
Source: RefSeq, a predicted model, not a curated record